GCUCAACAAUUUGUGACUCGUUAUAUCAUUUCUGAGGUAAUGUCAAGGAUGCCUUAUACUGCAGAUUGUUGGAAAAGUUAUUGCCCUGAAAUGAAAGAAAUGUUAUUUAAUGAUUUUAAGAAUAUGAUCGUGUGAUGGCGAGGGAAGUUUGG
This is a non-coding RNA of Cajanus cajan (pigeon pea), 152 nucleotides long. The record is from RefSeq and is a predicted model, not a curated record. NCBI's taxonomy places the organism in Eukaryota, Viridiplantae, Streptophyta, Magnoliopsida, Fabales, Fabaceae.